RNAcentral lists this ribosomal RNA (424 nucleotides) under uncultured bacterium. Its description in RNAcentral is "partial 16S ribosomal RNA". It matches the Rfam family "Bacterial small subunit ribosomal RNA", at positions 360 to 776 of the family's 1533-position model. The record is from RNAcentral.
AAUAUUGGACAAUGGGCGAAAGCCUGAUCCAGCCAUGCCGCGUGGGUGAAGAAGGUCUUCGGCUUGUAAAGCACUUUACGCUGGGAGGCAGGGCAGUGAGUUAAUACCUUGCUGUUUUGACGUUACCGACAGAAUAAGCACCGGCUAACCUGUUGCCAGCAGCCACGGUAAUACGAAGGGUGGAAGCGUUAAUCGGAAUUACUGGGAGUAAAGCGCGCGUAGGUGGUUCGUUAAAUUGGAAGUGAAAGCCCCGGGCUCAACCUGGGAACUGCUUUCAAAACUGGCAAGCUAGAGUAUGGCAGAGGGUGGUGGAAUUUCCUGUGUAGCGGUGAAAUGCGUAGAUAUAGGAAGGAACACCAGUGGCGAAGGCGACCACCUGGGCUAAUACUGACACUGAGGUGCGAAAGCGUGGGGAGCAAACAGG